CGGCGAGCGGCGGACGGCUGAGUAACGCGUAGGAAUUUGCCCCAAAGUGAGGAAUAACUGCCCGAAAGGGUAGCUAAUGCCGCAUAUGGUCUUCGGAUUAAAGCCUUCGGGCGCUUUGGGAGAAGCCUGCGUUGGAUUAGGUAGUUGGUAGGGUAAUGGCCUACCAAGCCGACGAUCCAUAGCUGGUCUGAGAGGAUGAUCAGCCAGACUGGAACUGAGACACGGUCCAGACUCCUACGGGAGGCAGCAGUGAGGAAUCUUCCACAAUGGGCGAAAGCCUGAUGGAGCAACGCCGCGUGAAGGAUGAAGGCCUUCGGGUUGUAAACUUCUUUUAUGAGUGAAGAAUAUGACGGUAACUCAUGAAUAAGCACCGGCUAACUACGUGCCAGCAGCCGCGGUCAUACGUAGGGUGCAAGCAUUAUCCGGAGUGACUGGGCGUAAAGAGUUGCGUAGCGGUUUAAUAAGUGAAUAGUGAAACCUGGUGGCUCAACCAUACAGACUAUUAUUCAAACUGUUAAACUCGAGAAUGGUAGAGGUAACUGGAAUUUCUAGUGUAGGAGUGAAAUCCGUAGAGAUAUGGAGGAACACCGAUGGCGAAGGCGACUUUCUGGUCUGUAACUGACGCUGAUGUGCGAAAGCGUGGGGAUCAAACAGGAUUAGAUACCCUGGUAGUCCACGCCGUAAACGAUGAGUGCUAAGUGUUAGGGGGUUUCCGCCCCUUAGUGCUGCAGCUAACGCAUUAAGCACUCCGCCUGGGGAGUACGACCGCAAGGUUGAAACUCAAAGGAAUUGACGGGGACCCGCACAAGCGGUGGAGCAUGUGGUUUAAUUCGAAGCAACGCGAAGAACCUUACCAAAUCUUGACAUCCUUUGACCCUUCUAGAGAUAGAAGUUUCCCCUUCGGGGGACAAAGUGACAGGUGGUGCAUGGUUGUCGUCAGCUCGUGUCGUGAGAUGUUGGGUUAAGUCCCGCAACGAGCGCAACCCUUAAGCUUAGUUGCCAUCAUUAAGUUGGGCACUCUAAGUUGACUGCCGGUGACAAACCGGAGGAAGGUGGGGAUGACGUCAAAUCAUCAUGCCCCUUAUGAUUUGGGCUACACACGUGCUACAAUGGACAAUACAAAGGGCAGCGAAACCGCGAGGUCAAGCAAAUCCCAUAAAGUUGUUCUCAGUUCGGAUUGUAGUCUGCAACUCGACUACAUGAAGCUGGAAUCGCUAGUAAUCGUAGAUCAGCAUGCUACGGUGAAUACGUUCCCGGGUCU
RNAcentral lists this ribosomal RNA (1261 nucleotides) under uncultured bacterium. RNAcentral's name for it is "partial 16S ribosomal RNA". It matches the Rfam family "Bacterial small subunit ribosomal RNA", at positions 89 to 1381 of the family's 1533-position model. The record is from RNAcentral.